This 448-nucleotide ribosomal RNA is filed under the name uncultured bacterium. RNAcentral's name for it is "partial 16S ribosomal RNA". It matches the Rfam family "Bacterial small subunit ribosomal RNA", at positions 329 to 793 of the family's 1533-position model. The record is from RNAcentral.
UACCAGACUCCUACGGGAGGCAGCAGUGGGGGAUAUUGCACAAUGGGGGAAACCCUGAUGCAGCGACGCCGCGUGUGGGAAGACGGUCCUCUGGAUUGUAAACCACUGUCCCCAGGGACGAAGAUGACGGUACCUGGGGAGGAAGCUCCGGCUAACUACGUGCCAGCAGCCGCGGUAAUACGUAGGGAGCAAGCGUUGUCCGGAUUUACUGGGUGUAAAGGGAGCGUAGACGGCGGUGCAAGCCAGAUGUGAAAGCCCGGGGCUCAACCCCGGGACUGCAUUUGGAACUGUGCUGCUAGAGUGUCGGAGAGGCAGGCGGAAUUCCUAGUGUAGCGGUGAAAUGCGUAGAUAUUAGGAGGAACACCAGUGGCGAAGGCGGCCUGCGGGACGAUGACUGACGUUGAGGCUCGAAAGCGUGGGGAGCAAACAGGAUUAGAUACCCCAGUAU